AGUCGUAACAAGGUUUCCGUAGGUGAACCUGCGGAAGGAUCAUUACAGAAUGAAAAGUGCUUAACUGCAUUUUUUCUUACACAUGUGUUUUUCUUUUUUUGAAAACUUUGCUUUGGUAGGCCUUCUAUAUGGGGCCUGCCAGAGAUUAAACUCAACCAAAUUUUAUUUAAUGUCAACCGAUUAUUUAAUAGUCAAAACUUUCAACAACGGAUCUCUUGGUUCUCGCAUCGAUGAAGAACGCAGCGAAAUGCGAUAAGUAAUAUGAAUUGCAGAUAUUCGUGAAUCAUCGAAUCUUUGAACGCACAUUGCGCCCUUUGGUAUUCCAAAGGGCAUGCCUGUUUGAGCGUCAUUUCUCCCUCAAACCCUCGGGUUUGGUGUUGAGCGAUACGCUGGGUUUGCUUGAAAGAAAGGCGGAGUAUAAACUAAUGGAUAGGUUUUUUCCACUCAUUGGUACAAACUCCAAAACUUCUUCCAAAUUCGACCUCAAAUCAGGUAGGACUACCCGCUGAACUUAAGCAUAUCA
This 523-nucleotide unclassified non-coding RNA is filed under the name Lodderomyces parapsilosis. RNAcentral's name for it is "Candida parapsilosis sequence contains 18S rRNA gene, ITS1, 5.8S rRNA gene, ITS2, 28S rRNA gene". The stretch from base 196 to 349 matches the Rfam family "5.8S ribosomal RNA". Lineage: Eukaryota; Fungi; Ascomycota; Pichiomycetes; Serinales; Debaryomycetaceae. The record is from RNAcentral.